AUUGAACGCUGGCGGCAUGCUUUACACAUGCAAGUCGAACGGCAGCGCGGGCUUCGCCCUGGCGGCGAGUGGCGAACGGGUGAGUAAUACAUCGGAACGUGCCCAGUUGCUUGGGAUAGCUCGGCGACAGCCGGAUUAAUACCGCAUACGACCUGACGGUGAAAGCGGGGGAGCUUCGGACCUUGCGCUCUUGGAGCGGCCGAUGGCAGAGUAGCUAGUUGGUGGGGUAAAGGCCUACCAAGGCGACGAUCCGUAGCUGGUCUGAGAGGACGACCAGCCACACUGGGACUGAGACACGGCCCAGACUCCUACGGGAGGCAGCAGUGGGGAAUUUUGGACAAUGGGCGAAAGCCUGAUCCAGCAAUGCCGCGUGUGUGAUGAAGGCCUUCGGGUUGUAAAGCACUUUUGGCGGGAACGAAAAGGACUGUGCCAAUACCACGGUUCGAUGACGGUACCCGCAGAAUAAGCACCGGCUAACUACGUG
RNAcentral lists this ribosomal RNA (484 nucleotides) under uncultured bacterium. RNAcentral's name for it is "partial 16S ribosomal RNA". It matches the Rfam family "Bacterial small subunit ribosomal RNA", at positions 29 to 507 of the family's 1533-position model. The record is from RNAcentral.